GACGAACGCUGGCGGCGCGCUUAACACAUGCAAGUCGAACGGAAAGGCCUGCUUUCCCUUGUGGAUUGCGGGUACUCGAGUGGCGAACGGGUGAGUAACACGUGAGUGAUCUGCCCCCAACUUGGGUAUAAGCCUGGGAAACUGGGUCUAAUUCCCGAUAGGACUGCAGGGUGGUGCCUGUGGUGGAAAACGAUUUUCUAGUGGUUGGGGAUGAGCUCGCGGCCUAUCUGCUUGUUGGUGGGGUAAUGGCCUACCAAGGCGGCGACGGGUAGCCGGCCUGGGAGGGUGGACGGCCACAUUGGGACGGGGAUACGGCCCAGACUCCUACGGGAGGCAGCAGUGGGGAAUAUUGCACAAGGGGCGGAAGCCUGAUGCAGCGACGCCGCGUGGGGGAUGACGGCCUUCGGGUUGUAAACUCCUUUCGACCGCGAGGAAGCCACCUGGUUGGAAGGGUGGUGACGGUAGUGGUAGAAGAAGCACCGGCUAACUACGUG
Molecule: ribosomal RNA, 494 nt
Filed under: uncultured bacterium
Lineage: Bacteria
Description: partial 16S ribosomal RNA
Rfam family: Bacterial small subunit ribosomal RNA
Source: RNAcentral